GACGAACGCUGGCGGCGUGCUUAACACAUGCAAGUCGAGCGGUAAGGCCCUUUCGGGGGUACACGAGCGGCGAACGGGUGAGUAACACGGGGGUGACCUGCCCUCAGCUCUGGAUAAGCCUGGGAAACUGGGUCUAAUACUGGAUAUGACUCCACGGUGCAUGUCGUGGGGUGGAAAGCCUUGUGCGGCUGAGGAUGGGCCCGCGGCCUAUCAGCUUGUUGGUGGGGUGAUGGCCUACCAAGGCGACGACGGGGUAGCCGGCCUGAGAGGGCGACCGGCCACACUGGGACUGAGACACGGCCCAGACUCCUACGGGAGGCAGCAGUGGGGAAUCUUGCGCAAUGGGCGAAAGCCUGACGCGAGCGACGCCGCGUGGAGGGA
This 381-nucleotide ribosomal RNA is filed under the name uncultured bacterium. RNAcentral describes it as "bacterial SSU rRNA". It matches the Rfam family "Bacterial small subunit ribosomal RNA", at positions 28 to 409 of the family's 1533-position model. The record is from RNAcentral.